Molecule: ribosomal RNA, 463 nt
Filed under: uncultured bacterium
Lineage: Bacteria
Description: partial 16S ribosomal RNA
Rfam family: Bacterial small subunit ribosomal RNA
Source: RNAcentral
ACGAACGCUGGCGGCGUGCUUAACACAUGCAAGUCGAACGGAAAGGCCCCCUUGUGGGGUACUCGAGUGGCGAACGGGUGAGUAACACGUGAGUAACCUACCCUUGACUUUGGGAUAACUUCAGGAAACUGGGGCUAAUACCGGAUAGGAGCUCCUGCUGCAUGGUGGGGGUUGGAAAGUUUCGGCGGUUGGGGAUGGACUCGCGGCUUAUCAGCUUGUUGGUGGGGUAGUGGCUCACCAAGGCUUUGACGGGUAGCCGGCCUGAGAGGGUGACCGGCCACAUUGGGACUGAGAUACGGCCCAGACUCCUACGGGAGGCAGCAGUGGGGAAUAUUGCACAAUGGGCGGAAGCCUGAUGCAGCAACGCCGCGUGCGGGAUGACGGCCUUCGGGUUGUAAACCGCUUUCGCCUGUGACGAAGCGUGAGUGACGGUAAUGGGUAAAGAAGCACCGGCUAACUACGU